This 644-nucleotide ribosomal RNA is filed under the name uncultured bacterium. RNAcentral's name for it is "bacterial SSU rRNA". It matches the Rfam family "Bacterial small subunit ribosomal RNA", at positions 232 to 886 of the family's 1533-position model. The record is from RNAcentral.
CGCGGCCUAUCAGCUUGUUGGUGGGGUAACGGCCUACCAAGGCGUCGACGGGUAGCCGGCCUGAGAGGGCGACCGGCCACACUGGGACUGAGACACGGCCCAGACUCCUACGGGAGGCAGCAGUGGGGAAUCUUGCACAAUGGGCGAAAGCCUGAUGCAGCGACGCCGCGUGAGGGAUGACGGCCUUCGGGUUGUAAACCUCUUUCAGCUCCGACGAAGCGAAAGUGACGGUAGGAGCAGAAGAAGCACCGGCCAACUACGUGCCAGCAGCCGCGGUAAUACGUAGGGUGCAAGCGUUGUCCGGAAUUAUUGGGCGUAAAGAGCUCGUAGGCGGUCUGUCACGUCGGCUGUGAAAACCUGGGGCUCAACCCCGGGCCUGCAGCCGAUACGGGCAGACUAGAAUUCGGUAGGGGAGACUGGAAUUCCUGGUGUAGCGGUGGAAUGCGCAGAUAUCAGGAGGAACACCGGUGGCGAAGGCGGGUCUCUGGGCCGAUAUUGACGCUGAGGAGCGAAAGCGUGGGGAGCGAACAGGAUUAGAUACCCUGGUAGUCCACGCCGUAAACGGUGGGCGCUAGGUGUGGGCCUCAUUCCACGAGGUCUGUGCCGCAGCUAACGCAUUAAGCGCCCCGCCUGGGGAGUACGGA